AUACUUACCUGACAGGGGCAAUACCAUGAUUCAGAAGGUGGUUUAUCUAAAGUGAGGCCUAGCCAUUGCACUCAGGCUGUACUGAGCUUUGUAAAUUCCUCAAAUGCAGGAAUCUUGACUGUAUAAUUUCUGCUAGUUGGGGACUGUGUUUGCACAACCCUUU
Neoarius graeffei (lesser salmon catfish) is the source of this 163-nucleotide small nuclear RNA. RefSeq annotates it as U1 spliceosomal RNA. NCBI's taxonomy places the organism in Eukaryota, Metazoa, Chordata, Actinopteri, Siluriformes, Ariidae. The transcript has a single exon. The record is from RefSeq and is a predicted model, not a curated record.